RNAcentral lists this transfer RNA (85 nucleotides) under Felis catus (domestic cat). It matches the Rfam family "tRNA". From Rfam's summary of the family: Transfer RNA (tRNA) molecules are approximately 80 nucleotides in length. Their secondary structure includes four short double-helical elements and three loops (D, anti-codon, and T loops). Lineage: Eukaryota; Metazoa; Chordata; Mammalia; Carnivora; Felidae. The record is from Rfam by way of RNAcentral.
GCCUGGGUGGCUCAGUUGAUUAAGCGUCCGACUUCAGCUCAGGUCAUGAUCUCAUGGUCCGUGAGUUCGAGCCCCACUUCAGGCU